UAAGCGACUAAGCGUACACGGUGGAUGCCCUGGCAGUCAGAGGCGAUGAAGGACGUGCUAAUCUGCGAUAAGCGUCGGUAAGGUGAUAUGAACCGUUAUAACCGGCGAUUUCCGAAUGGGGAAACCCAGUGUGAUUCGUCACACUAUCAUUAACUGAAUCCAUAGGUUAAUGAGGCGAACCGGGGGAACUGAAACAUCUAAGUACCCCGAGGAAAAGAAAUCAACCGAGAUUCCCCCAGUAGCGGCGAGCGAACGGGGAGCAGCCCAGAGCCUGAAUCAGUGUGUGUGUUAGUGGAAGCGUCUGGAAAGGCGUGCGAUACAGGGUGACAGCCCCGUACACAAAAAUGCACAUAUUGUGAGCUCGAUGAGUAGGGCGGGACACGUGGUAUCCUGUCUGAAUAUGGGGGGACCAUCCUCCAAGGCUAAAUACUCCUGACUGACCGAUAGUGAACCAGUACCGUGAGGGAAAGGCGAAAAGAACCCCGGCGAGGGGAGUGAAAAAGAACCUGAAACCGUGUACGUACAAGCAGUGGGAGCACGCUUAGGCGUGUGACUGCGUACCUUUUGUAUAAUGGGUCAGCGACUUAUAUUCUGUAGCAAGGUUAACCGAAUAGGGGAGCCGAAGGGAAACCGAGUCUUAACUGGGCGUUAAGUUGCAGGGUAUAGACCCGAAACCCGGUGAUCUAGCCAUGGGCAGGUUGAAGGUUGGGUAACACUAACUGGAGGACCGAACCGACUAAUGUUGAAAAAUUAGCGGAUGACUUGUGGCUGGGGGUGAAAGGCCAAUCAAACCGGGAGAUAGCUGGUUCUCCCCGAAAGCUAUUUAGGUAGCGCCUCGUGAAUUCAUCUCCGGGGGUAGAGCACUGUUUCGGCAAGGGGGUCAUCCCGACUUACCAACCCGAUGCAAACUGCGAAUACCGGAGAAUGUUAUCACGGGAGACACACGGCGGGUGCUAACGUCCGUCGUGAAGAGGGAAACAACCCAGACCGCCAGCUAAGGUCCCAAAGUCAUGGUUAAGAGGGAAACGAUGUGGGAAGGCCCAGACAGCCAGGAUGUUGGCUUAGAAGCAGCCAUCAUUUGAAGAAAGCGUAAUAGCUCACUGGUCGAGUCGGCCUGCGCGGAAGAUGUAACGGGGCUAAACCAUGCACCGAAGCUGCGGCAGCGACACUAUGUGUUGUUGGGUAGGGGAGCGUUCUGUAAGCCUGUGAAGGUGUACUGUGAGGUAUGCUGGAGGUAUCAGAAGUGCGAAUGCUGACAUAAGUAACGAUAAAGCGGGUGAAAAGCCCGCUCGCCGGAAGACCAAGGGUUCCUGUCCAACGUUAAUCGGGGCAGGGUGAGUCGACCCCUAAGGCGAGGCCGAUAGGCGUAGUCGAUGGGAAACAGGUUAAUAUUCCUGUACUUGGUGUUACUGCGAAGGGGGGACGGAGAAGGCUAUGUUGGCCGGGCGACGGUUGUCCCGGUUUAAGCGUGUAGGCUGGUUUUCCAGGCAAAUCCGGAAAACUAAGGCUGAGGCGUGAUGACGAGGCACUACGGUGCUGAAGCAACAAAUGCCCUGCUUCCAGGAAAAGCCUCUAAGCAUCAGGUAACAUCAAAUCGUACCCCAAACCGACACAGGUGGUCAGGUAGAGAAUACCAAGGCGCUUGAGAGAACUCGGGUGAAGGAACUAGGCAAAAUGGUGCCGUAACUUCGGGAGAAGGCACGCUGAUAUGUAGGUGAAGUCCCUCGCGGAUGGAGCUGAAAUCAGUCGAAGAUACCAGCUGGCUGCAACUGUUUAUUAAAAACACAGCACUGUGCAAACACGAAAGUGGACGUAUACGGUGUGACGCCUGCCCGGUGCCGGAAGGUUAAUUGAUGGGGUCAGCGCAAGCGAAGCUCUUGAUCGAAGCCCCGGUAAACGGCGGCCGUAACUAUAACGGUCCUAAGGUAGCGAAAUUCCUUGUCGGGUAAGUUCCGACCUGCACGAAUGGCGUAAUGAUGGCCAGGCUGUCUCCACCCGAGACUCAGUGAAAUUGAACUCGCUGUGAAGAUGCAGUGUACCCGCGGCAAGACGGAAAGACCCCGUGAACCUUUACUAUAGCUUGACACUGAACAUUGAGCCUUGAUGUGUAGGAUAGGUGGGAGGCUUUGAAGUGUGGACGCCAGUCUGCAUGGAGCCGACCUUGAAAUACCACCCUUUAAUGUUUGAUGUUCUAACGUUGACCCGUAAUCCGGGUUGCGGACAGUGUCUGGUGGGUAGUUUGACUGGGGCGGUCUCCUCCUAAAGAGUAACGGAGGAGCACGAAGGUUGGCUAAUCCUGGUCGGACAUCAGGAGGUUAGUGCAAUGGCAUAAGCCAGCUUGACUGCGAGCGUGACGGCGCGAGCAGGUGCGAAAGCAGGUCAUAGUGAUCCGGUGGUUCUGAAUGGAAGGGCCAUCGCUCAACGGAUAAAAGGUACUCCGGGGAUAACAGGCUGAUACCGCCCAAGAGUUCAUAUCGACGGCGGUGUUUGGCACCUCGAUGUCGGCUCAUCACAUCCUGGGGCUGAAGUAGGUCCCAAGGGUAUGGCUGUUCGCCAUUUAAAGUGGUACGCGAGCUGGGUUUAGAACGUCGUGAGACAGUUCGGUCCCUAUCUGCCGUGGGCGCUGGAGAACUGAGGGGGGCUGCUCCUAGUACGAGAGGACCGGAGUGGACGCAUCACUGGUGUUCGGGUUGUCAUGCCAAUGGCACUGCCCGGUAGCUAAAUGCGGAAGAGAUAAGUGCUGAAAGCAUCUAAGCACGAAACUUGCCCCGAGAUGAGUUCUCCCUGACUCCUUGAGAGUCCUGAAGGAACGUUGAAGACGACGACGUUGAUAGGCCGGGUGUGUAAGCGCAGCGAUGCGUUGAGCUAACCGGUACUAAUGAACCGUGAGGCUUAACCU
Molecule: ribosomal RNA, 2899 nt
Filed under: Shigella flexneri K-315
Lineage: Bacteria; Pseudomonadati; Pseudomonadota; Gammaproteobacteria; Enterobacterales; Enterobacteriaceae
Description: bacterial LSU rRNA
Rfam family: Bacterial large subunit ribosomal RNA
Source: RNAcentral